This 439-nucleotide ribosomal RNA is filed under the name uncultured bacterium. Its description in RNAcentral is "partial 16S ribosomal RNA". It matches the Rfam family "Bacterial small subunit ribosomal RNA", at positions 339 to 795 of the family's 1533-position model. The record is from RNAcentral.
CUACGGGGCGCUCCAGUGAGGAAUAUUGCACAAUGGGGGAAACCCUGAUGCAGCAACGCCGCGUGGAGGAUGACGCAUUUCGGUGUGUAAACUCCUUUUAUGAGUCAAGAAAAUGACGGUAGCUCAUGAAUAAGCACCGGCUAACUCCGUGCCAGCAGCCGCGGUAAUACGGAGGGUGCAAGCGUUACUCGGAAUCACUGGGCGUAAAGGACGCGUAGGCGGGUGGUCAAGUCAGGUGUGAAAUCCUACAGCUUAACUGUAGAACUGCACUUGAAACUGGCAACCUAGAGUAUGGGAGGGGGAGAUGGAAUUAGUGGUGUAGGGGUAAAAUCCGUAGAUAUCACUAGGAAUACCGAAAGCGAAGGCGAUCUCCUGGAACUUUACUGACGCUAAGGCGUGAAAGCGUGGGGAGCAAACAGGAUUAGAUACCCGCGUAGUC